GACGGACUCACCUCCAGAGGCGGCGGGGCCAGGCCGGGCUCUGAGGGGGCCACGGCGGCCAUGACAGAGCCGGGUGCUGGUGCCAGGUCCUGCCACGGAAACACGAACCGAGGGGAAAAGAAAGCUGGGGGAAAAAAGCCAGGAAAAAUAUGAAAAGAAGGGGAGGAAAGGCAAAAAUUCCCUCUGGGCACAGCAGGGGUGGCAGGCUCGGGGUUGGGCACCCCCCAAAGCUUUAGCUUUGCUGGCCGCCAUUUCCUGAGGGUCCCCUUCAGGCUGAGGGGAGCUCCUUCACCCUGGGGCCCCAUCCCAGGGAAUAAACAGCCCACCACGGAGCAGGUGCUGUAUCCCAGGGUUCAGGUGGUAGAGACACUGUGGCAAACACUGCAUCUCAAAAAAGGCAUCACCCCCAAAAGCAGCGCUGCUUUGGCUGCUCGAGGAGCCCCCAUAAAGUGUCUCACAAGCGGCUGCAGGGAACAGAGGUGGCACUUCCAGUGCCUUUCCAGCAGAAUUCCAGUCCCCCUGGUGACCUCGGGGCCACCAUCGAGGACUCUGGUGCCCAACACAGGAUAAAAAGCAAUCAAAGAAACUGGGAGAGGGAGCAAUGGAGCAGCAGCGCCACAGUGACCUCCCCAGACCCCUCCUCAGCACGUUCCCUUCCUGAUCUCCUCCAAACUCCUCCUGAACACAGCUCGUUCCAGCCAACUGCUGAGAAUGGGAACAUGUAGUUUCCAUUAUGAAGUUUAAAUGUAUUUCCUAAAAAUAACCUGCUGUUUGGGGCUUUUAGCAUCAGAAAUAAAUCCAUAUACACCGAUAAAACCUGAUUAUAAUUAGUCACACAAGUAAAAUUAUGAGUGUAAUUAACUACAGCAAUUAAUUGAAAUGCCUUUGGGACAUCAUUUCCCUUCUUGCAGUUGAACGCAAUUUGCAUUUAAAGUUAUAUCGUAAAUGCUAUAAGAUCAUAAUCAAUUUGGGUUAUUUUAUUAUCUUUUACCUAUUAAUAUCUUCUGAAGUGAUUUAGACAUCCAGUAGUCAAACACUGUUUGGAUGUAAAAAGAAAUCUGAACAGCUGAUACUGUUUUAAUGACCAUGGGUUUUGUUUUCCCGUAAUCCAUCUCCUAGCUAUCUCUAGCUAAACUUCUCUGUGCCCUUCCUUUUUAUUACCUCUCAAAACUAUAUUGUUUUUCAUCGACUGAAAUUACCUUCAUAUGUCAACACCCAUUCCCUUCCCACAUUACCAAGACUGCUCGUUGUUCCCAGCACGUAAGAGAAAGAUCUUGAUGGAUUAGUGAUUAGACGGGUAGUUAUGAAGAAUUUAUAUGAGAGACAAAGAAAGGCAGAAGUUUUACAUUUUGCUGAUUGUGCUGAUGUUGAGAUUAAAUUCUAAAUAAAUCAUAGACAUUUCCUAUCAAGAAUGCAGUAUCUUUGUAAACCUGCAAUCAUUUGAGUUUGUGGCACAUGAAGUCUCAGCAUUGCACAAAAUGCUUUCUUACAUGCAGUAAAACAUGAUGGUUUAUGUCCUGGAACCCAGCAGUGACUGCUGAACCUGGCAGUACCCCUGGGAGAACAGCAGUGACCUCCCCAGGGCAAACAAGAGAUGGAGUUUAAAUCUUAAAACAGCAAGAUAAAGACAGAAAGUCAACCAUGGAGCUGCUGAAGCUUCUCCAGCCCUGUCAGCUGAGAGGCACAGUGACUGAUGGUACCCCGCCGUCUGUGCAGCCCUUCAUGCCAAACACAUCUAAGCAAAAGGGAGGAUUCACCACUCAUUUGAUCUCCUCAGAGAAUUUCAGUGCUCCAGAUCAUUGGUUCAGCUCAAACAUUUUAGGAACUGUGUGCUGUGACAGCUGCAGUCCCAGGAGUGUCCCUGCGUACAGAGAGCUCAGUCCACAAAGCAGGUUGUGAGCGGAGAAAUCGCCAAGGCUCCAUUUGCUCCAGCGGUGUUACAACGGUUUGAUUGGCAGGAACACGGUGUCUUACCAAGCACUGUGACAAGGACUCUGGUGUCACUCACAUCAACCCCCUGAAAGGGGUCUCUAUUGUUCCCGUCGUUGUUACCGCGGCGCCAGGGCAUAAACGGGAAGUUGGGGUUUAUGAUCCCACGGAUAGCAGUGGACACGUGAUGCAUCCAGGCUGAUUUAUGCUGAAAAACAGCUAUUAAAGCUCAUAAAGCACAAACAUUCAGAUUGCACGGAAACGCACUCAAAAAGCCAGUGCAGUUCCUGCUGCAGCCACAGGGCUGUUGUGAGGCCGGGACAGGGAAGACCUGCUGGGACCGCAGGCAAUCCACGCUUCAUGAUUUAUAAAUGCCUCGUAUAAGGCUUAUGAAAAAGCAAAAUCCUGCCUGCCUGUUUCUCAGCAAGUACCAAAUGACCCCAGGAAAGAUUCAGCCUCAAGAAAGAGAGAUCAGUUGGUGAAACCAGCAGCUGGUUUUGCCAACACAAGGUAACACACGUUCACAGGAGGGCUGUGGGACCCAGGGAUGGGCAGAAGCACCUUGGAGAGCUAAACUCAUUUACAAAAGAGCAUGCACAGUAAGCUCUAUAAGAUGGAAUCAACUCCUCCGAUAGCUCUUUUCCCUCCUUUGACUAAGACAUAAAUGGCUAAGUAAGUGUUUAACUUCUGCAGAACACAGAGCUGCCUGAAAUUUUCAACUUUCUGGCUGAACACACUAAAUACACGCUUAAAAAAAUAAGAAUAAAGACUGAGAUGGGGGUAAAAAAAACCCCUCAACACAUGAGAAAGCAACAGUUUACUUUGCAAACCAGUUGUCCCCAGCAGAGCCCACAGCAGUGAGAGUGUAACCUGCUCCUCCCCGAGGAAAUGAGGGAGAACAGCCCCACAACCGCAUCUGGGCACGGCCAUAAAACCUGCAGCCUCAGUGCCUGGGUGGCUGGAACCUGCUGCCAAGUUCCUGUCAGGACCGCUGGAGUGGAGUGAUUAACACACCCUGUGCCCUCAUGAGAGAGCAGUCAGUUAUCCCGGGAUAACCCGUGGCAAAGGGACUGUUUUGGGCACAGCCCGUCCUGCUGCUCCCCACCCCACCCUUCUGCCUGCCUCGUCUCCAGACUCACCUGCGAGGGACCUUCAGGACAGACAGCUCUCCUGCCCCAGUGCCCUGAGCACUCCUGGGUUAGCAUUUGGAUGGGGUGAUUUCCAUAGGAAGCUCCUUGCAGCACGUCCUCCAUCGACAGCUCUGUUUGUUCUUAUUAAGAGGAAUUUAAUCAUCACUGAUGACUUCUACGAGUCCUCUGCCAUCAGGGACAUUAUUUCUAAUACUGAAAGGGUGGCAAUUUCCUCUCUUCCCACUCCUCACUCCUUUUUUCCCCUCUUGUUAAAAAGUGACCAGCAGGUCACUGCAAAGACAAGAUGAAAAUAGUAAGACUCUGAAAUAAAAGUUCAGUUAAGGCCUAACCACUAGAAAUAGUCAGACAGGGCACAGCACAACCGUGGACAUGCACAAACUGCAAACAGUACAAGUGACCUGCCCACAACACAUUUUUUGGUAUCCCAGUUAUUUGGGGAAUCUUAAGCAGUAAAAUGACUGGAAAGUAUUUGGUGCAGCUUGCAAGGGACUGUCAGCCCAGGUCAGCUGAGCAAGGGGGGGAUCCUGCAUUGUAAGCUGUUGUGGUAAAGGCAGCUGGGAGCAGGUUGAAGGUCUCUCUGAAUUGUGCAGGUUGGUGUCCAGCUGACAGCCCAGCACAGCCAGCCAAAAUAAAUGUGGCCCCUCUCUGCAAGCAUUCUUCCUCAAAUACCUUCCUUUGGAGUCAUCUGUUAUUUUAAGCAAAAUACAUAAACAAAAGAAAACAGUGUCAGUUUUACUAUUGUACACAUGGACCCAAAAUACCCAUUACAAUCAUCACCAAAAUAAAUUAUUGUCCCGGUUUGAAAUGGUGGGAAACUUCAGUUUUCCUUUCAUUCAAGUGGAGAGCAUUUUAUAGUAAGACAUUCCUUAGGGAUAAUAUACACUUUAAUGGACUCACAUAAAAGUUAUCAUAUGUUUUUAUAUCAAGUCUGUGUAUAUUAAAUUUAGUAGUGUGGGAAACAGAAGAAGAGCCUGUUAAGAACUUGAAACGAUCUUUUUUUAUGCAAAAGAAAUUAAGGAUGACACUUCCAGUGGCUCUUACAAGAGGCCCUUGAAACAACAGCUUCUGAAAAUGAAAUAGAGAUUUGUGUAAAAAGUCUUUUUUCAUAUUGGACGAGUGCAGCCUCUUCUUUAAGCAGGUAACUGCAUUUUACAGACAGAGAACCCGGCUAAGAAAACCCUUCCCUGUCCCCCUUGUCCCUCUUUUUCUUCCCCACAAAGAAAAAGCAGUUUUGUUCAGCAGACUGGAGCAAUCAGAACCAUCAGAGCUCAGGUUGCGGACGUGUCAGCUUUUCCACGGCCCAUCCCCUUCCCCUCGGCCAUCCUGCAUUUAGUUUGAAAAGGUCAUUAAACAAGACACAAAAGGUGAAGUGCAAGGUUACAGAUUUAUAACCUGCCUGAGCAGACAGGGGCUGACAAAGGGCUGGUGCUGCCUGGGACACCAGGCUGAGGUACAGGAGGUGUCUGCUUUGUGCCCUGCAAUCCAACCCAGCAGCUGAAGGAAGCAGGAGCAAACCCAGCUCAGAGUGAAAUAUAUUCAGAGGGGAUGCUCACAUUCGUGUCCUACCUUUCCUUUAAUCAGCUCUAAUAUAUGUUAUUUAUUUAUUUGAACUCUACCCUUCUUCACCCUCACCUUGUCUUCUGCUGUUUUUCCACCACCUGCCACUCACACGAGAGGGAAGGCAACCAGUAUUUUGGUCCUAGUUAAAUCAAAUAAGUUAAAUAACAGUCCAAGCUCCUCAUCCUGACAGAUUUUGUGCUAAAAGCUAAUUAUUCUUCAGGUCACUCUGAAUUCUUACUCCUUUAAACUGCUGCUGGUUUACAGCAGUAUCUCAUUGAGCUGCCAGAUCUCUGGAUUAUGUUAAAAGCAAAACAGACUGGCUUCUUUAAUUGAGGCACUAUUUGGAAACACCCACACUGAAAGUAAUCAUUUUCUGGUUUAUAAUUCAUUCAUAAUCAUUUAAAAAAAAAUAAUUGGAAGGAAAGGUAAGAAGUUAAAACAUCCAGAGUGACAUCCUUGUUCGUAUCUCAUGGCCAAACUGCUCCUCUGAUAUGCUGCCAACCUUUUAUCAAAAAGCUUCCACCAAAAGUCUCUUUGUUACAAGUUAAAUGCUGGGGCUGCCUGUGCUCAAAGGGGCUGUUGGGCCCAGAGAUUUAUUCCCUGGCGUGGGUCUUUUAAACAGGAACAUUUUUAUAAUCAAAACUGGAGAUAAAAAGGCACGAGCACAUGGCAAACAAACCUUCACCAGCGCGAGCGAGGUCAUCGACGGGAGCGUGUGCUAACGAGCCUCGUGCAUCACUGGGGCCUUCCUGUGUGGAAUCCUUUCCUGCCCCUUGAAGAAAUGUUCUGAUACAACACGAAUGGCUUUGAUUUAGAGAUCUCCAAAGGGGUUUUAUUCCAUAUCAGAAGGAAAACAUCAUGUAACAAAAGAAUCCAUCGAGCUUUCUGUUCUGCUUGGUGGUGGCUCACAACAGAAACCUCCAGCGUCUCAACAAAACCCUGAGCCAGGAUUUAAACUGCUGCAAGAACAUCUGAACCACAGAGCUCAAAAACUCAGCCAGUUCAACCCUUCUGAGUCUGGAAGUUUUAGGUUAAUACUGUGCUUCCUAUAUCAUAUCUCAGCAAAUUUAAACCAAGAUCACCCAGAGCUGCAGCAAUACCUGGCCAAACUUCUCCCUGAAAGUCUAAGUGAGAUGACCUGACUGUGACAGAAUAAUGACAAACCAAAGUAAAAAGAAGAUAUUUCAGAAAUGAAAAUAUCUUUUUGUUUUCUAAUUUACAAAAUCUAUGUAGUUUUUUUUUUUAAAUCACCAUUAUCUGCAGCAUUAGGGUGUGCUCUAAUUCAGUGAGGACAGUGCUCUGAGCAGAAGGCUGGACUGGAUCAGCUCAUUCCAACCCAAAUUAUUUUAUGAUUCAAUAGUUCUAUGCCAAAUAAUACCCUGUGCUAUGAUUUCAUUUCUAUGAAGUUGAUGUUACAGUCUGUGGACAAGACAGAAAGUAAAAAAAACCCUCCAUCCCUUUGGUUUGAGUAAAAGGGAAAUGUCUCUGUUCCUGUCAUGAGAUAAAACAGAGUCUGCCUUGGUAAGGCCCCCUUCCCAAGGAGCUCCCUGUGCUUCCCAAACUCUGGAUCAGGGAAGAACGUGGGAUUUUAGCCUGUUACACAGAGCUGAGGAACAACAGACUGAGACAACACUUCCCAAAUGCUCAGCACAGUCCCCACACAGCAGAGCUCCCCCAGCCAGUCCAGUUGGACUUUGCACCCAAUAAAACUCUAAUGCUGAAAAAAACUUCCAGCAGCACCGAGAUAAAUAAUAUCCAAGUACAGGGAGUCCUGUAUUGUCAGAUCACACAAACACUGGAACAAAGGCUCUCAAGCAUCUGCUGCUCUGUUUAUUUUUCUUGCAGGGGAUGGGAGUGCACGAACUCCGAUCCCCCCCAGCAGCUUGUGACCCACCUGGGGACAUCUGUGCUCUCCUCAGUGUUUUUAAAUGCACUGUUAGAAGUUAGAAGGUGAGGGUCAGUCAUCAGGUAACUGCUCAAGAGCUGUCUGGAAUAACCCUAAAUCAAAAUAAAAGCUGUAUUUUGCCAUUAUUUUUCCUCCAUUUGUUUUCUACUCUCACAAUUAGCAGGGGGAAGCCACUGGAUGGGCUUUUGUACAAAUGCAUGUUCUAUUCCUACUGGUAUAUUUAUCUUGUUUUAGUCUCAAAAUGAGCAUCCAUACCUGCUUCUGGUGCCUCUUUCAUUCUCACAAGCUGGAAUAAACACAGGAAAGCAGCCUGGCUUGGUUUUAUUCCCGUGCCUUUUCCAGGGGCAUCACCACCAACCACACCAGCUCCGAAAGCUUCCAGCCACCAGUGGCUGAACAACUGAAAUGUAACAAAUCAACAGAAAUUCUCCUUGUGAUUUUCAGUCUUGAGGUCAUUUUUUGUGCAAUCUAAAUAAAGGACUAAGCUUGA
This is a long non-coding RNA of Pipra filicauda (Wire-tailed manakin), 7036 nucleotides long. RefSeq lists it as uncharacterized. Lineage: Eukaryota; Metazoa; Chordata; Aves; Passeriformes; Pipridae. The record is from RefSeq and is a predicted model, not a curated record. The transcript is spliced from 2 exons.